UUAAGCGACUAAGCGUACACGGUGGAUGCCCUGGCAGUCAGAGGCGAUGAAGGACGUGCUAAUCUGCGAUAAGCGUCGGUGAGGUGAUAUGAACCGUUAUAACCGGCGAUUUCCGAAUGGGGAAACCCAGUGUGAUUCGACACACUAUCAUUAACUGAAUCCAUAGGUUAAUGAGGCGAACCGGGGGAACUGAAACAUCUAAGUACCCCGAGGAAAAGAAAUCAACCGAGAUUCCCCCAGUAGCGGCGAGCGAACGGGGAGGAGCCCAGAGCCUGAAUCAGUGUGUGUGUUAGUGGAAGCGUCUGGAAAGGCGCGCGAUACAGGGUGACAGCCCCGUACACAAAAAUGCACAUACUGUGAGCUCGAUGAGUAGGGCGGGACACGUGGUAUCCUGUCUGAAUAUGGGGGGACCAUCCUCCAAGGCUAAAUACUCCUGACUGACCGAUAGUGAACCAGUACCGUGAGGGAAAGGCGAAAAGAACCCCGGCGAGGGGAGUGAAAAAGAACCUGAAACCGUGUACGUACAAGCAGUGGGAGCCUCUUAAUGGGGUGACUGCGUACCUUUUGUAUAAUGGGUCAGCGACUUAUAUUCUGUAGCAAGGUUAACCGAAUAGGGGAGCCGAAGGGAAACCGAGUCUUAACUGGGCGUUAAGUUGCAGGGUAUAGACCCGAAACCCGGUGAUCUAGCCAUGGGCAGGUUGAAGGUUGGGUAACACUAACUGGAGGACCGAACCGACUAAUGUUGAAAAAUUAGCGGAUGACUUGUGGCUGGGGGUGAAAGGCCAAUCAAACCGGGAGAUAGCUGGUUCUCCCCGAAAGCUAUUUAGGUAGCGCCUCGUGAAUUCAUCUCCGGGGGUAGAGCACUGUUUCGGCAAGGGGGUCAUCCCGACUUACCAACCCGAUGCAAACUGCGAAUACCGGAGAAUGUUAUCACGGGAGACACACGGCGGGUGCUAACGUCCGUCGUGAAGAGGGAAACAACCCAGACCGCCAGCUAAGGUCCCAAAGUCAUGGUUAAGUGGGAAACGAUGUGGGAAGGCCCAGACAGCCAGGAUGUUGGCUUAGAAGCAGCCAUCAUUUAAAGAAAGCGUAAUAGCUCACUGGUCGAGUCGGCCUGCGCGGAAGAUGUAACGGGGCUAAACCAUGCACCGAAGCUGCGGCAGCGACACUAUGUGUUGUUGGGUAGGGGAGCGUUCUGUAAGCCUGUGAAGGUGUACUGUGAGGUAUGCUGGAGGUAUCAGAAGUGCGAAUGCUGACAUAAGUAACGAUAAAGCGGGUGAAAAGCCCGCUCGCCGGAAGACCAAGGGUUCCUGUCCAACGUUAAUCGGGGCAGGGUGAGUCGACCCCUAAGGCGAGGCCGAAAGGCGUAGUCGAUGGGAAACAGGUUAAUAUUCCUGUACUUGGUGUUACUGCGAAGGGGGGACGGAGAAGGCUAUGUUGGCCGGGCGACGGUUGUCCCGGUUUAAGCGUGUAGGCUGGUUUUCCAGGCAAAUCCGGAAAACCAAGGCUGAGGCGUGAUGACGAGGCACUACGGUGCUGAAGCGACAAAUGCCCUGCUUCCAGGAAAAGCCUCUAAGCAUCAGGUAACAUCAAAUCGUACCCCAAACCGACACAGGUGGUCAGGUAGAGAAUACCAAGGCGCUUGAGAGAACUCGGGUGAAGGAACUAGGCAAAAUGGUGCCGUAACUUCGGGAGAAGGCACGCUGAUAUGUAGGUGAAGCGACUUGCUCGUGGAGCUGAAAUCAGUCGAAGAUACCAGCUGGCUGCAACUGUUUAUUAAAAACACAGCACUGUGCAAACACGAAAGUGGACGUAUACGGUGUGACGCCUGCCCGGUGCCGGAAGGUUAAUUGAUGGGGUUAGCGGCAACGCGAAGCUCUUGAUCGAAGCCCCGGUAAACGGCGGCCGUAACUAUAACGGUCCUAAGGUAGCGAAAUUCCUUGUCGGGUAAGUUCCGACCUGCACGAAUGGCGUAAUGAUGGCCAGGCUGUCUCCACCCGAGACUCAGUGAAAUUGAACUCGCUGUGAAGAUGCAGUGUACCCGCGGCAAGACGGAAAGACCCCGUGAACCUUUACUAUAGCUUGACACUGAACAUUGAGCCUUGAUGUGUAGGAUAGGUGGGAGGCUUUGAAGUGUGGACGCCAGUCUGCAUGGAGCCGACCUUGAAAUACCACCCUUUAAUGUUUGAUGUUCUAACGUGGGCCCGUAAUCCGGGUUGCGGACAGUGUCUGGUGGGUAGUUUGACUGGGGCGGUCUCCUCCUAAAGAGUAACGGAGGAGCACGAAGGUUGGCUAAUCCUGGUCGGACAUCAGGAGGUUAGUGCAAUGGCAUAAGCCAGCUUGACUGCGAGCGUGACGGCGCGAGCAGGUGCGAAAGCAGGUCAUAGUGAUCCGGUGGUUCUGAAUGGAAGGGCCAUCGCUCAACGGAUAAAAGGUACUCCGGGGAUAACAGGCUGAUACCGCCCAAGAGUUCAUAUCGACGGCGGUGUUUGGCACCUCGAUGUCGGCUCAUCACAUCCUGGGGCUGAAGUAGGUCCCAAGGGUAUGGCUGUUCGCCAUUUAAAGUGGUACGCGAGCUGGGUUUAGAACGUCGUGAGACAGUUCGGUCCCUAUCUGCCGUGGGCGCUGGAGAACUGAGGGGGGCUGCUCCUAGUACGAGAGGACCGGAGUGGACGCAUCACUGGUGUUCGGGUUGUCAUGCCAAUGGCACUGCCCGGUAGCUAAAUGCGGAAGAGAUAAGUGCUGAAAGCAUCUAAGCACGAAACUUGCCCCGAGAUGAGUUCUCCCUGAGCCUUUAAGGGUCCUGAAGGAACGUUGAAGACGACGACGUUGAUAGGCCGGGUGUGUAAGCGCAGCGAUGCGUUGAGCUAACCGGUACUAAUGAACCGUGAGGCUUAACCUU
Molecule: ribosomal RNA, 2902 nt
Filed under: Escherichia coli
Lineage: Bacteria; Pseudomonadati; Pseudomonadota; Gammaproteobacteria; Enterobacterales; Enterobacteriaceae
Also listed under: 1 other name
Description: bacterial LSU rRNA
Rfam family: Bacterial large subunit ribosomal RNA
Source: RNAcentral